GGAUGAACGCUGGCGGCGUGCUUACCCCAUGCAAGUCGAACGGAAAGGCCCAAGCUUGCUUGGGUACUCGAGUGGCGAACGGGUGAGUAACACGUGGGUGAUCUGCCCUGCACUUCGGGAUAAGCCUGGGAAACUGGGUCUAAUACCGGAUAGGACCACAUUUUGGAUGGUGUGGUGGAAAGUUUUUCGGUGUGGGAUGAGCUCGCGGCCUAUCAGCUUGUUGGUGGGGUAAUGGCCUACCAAGGCGUCGACGGGUAGCCGGCCUGAGAGGGUGUACGGCCACAUUGGGACUGAGAUACGGCCCAGACUCCUACGGGAGGCAGCAGUGGGGAAUAUUGCACAAUGGGCGCAAGCCUGAUGCAGCGACGCCGCGUGGGGGAUGACGGCCUUCGGGUUGUAAACUCCUUUCGCUAGGGACGAAGCGCAAGUGACGGUACCUGGAGAAGAAGCACCGGCUAACUACGUG
RNAcentral lists this ribosomal RNA (466 nucleotides) under uncultured bacterium. RNAcentral describes it as "partial 16S ribosomal RNA". It matches the Rfam family "Bacterial small subunit ribosomal RNA", at positions 27 to 507 of the family's 1533-position model. The record is from RNAcentral.